AUUCCUACGGGAGGCAGCAGUCGAGAAUUUUUCACAAUGGGCGAAAGCCUGAUGGAGCGACGCCGCGUGGGGGACGAAUGGCUUCGGCCCGUAAACCCCUGUCAUUUGCGAACAAACCCUACAGGUUAACAACCUGUGAGCUGAUUGUAGCGAAAGAGGAAGGGACGGCUAACUCUGUGCCAGCAGCCGCGGUAAUAAU
This 199-nucleotide ribosomal RNA is filed under the name uncultured bacterium. RNAcentral describes it as "partial 16S ribosomal RNA". It matches the Rfam family "Bacterial small subunit ribosomal RNA", at positions 335 to 527 of the family's 1533-position model. The record is from RNAcentral.